GAUGAACGCUGGCGGCGUGCCUAAUACAUGCCAGUCGAGCGAACAGACGAGGAGCUUGCUCCUCUGACGUUAGCGGCGGACGGGUGAGUAACACGUGGAUAACCUACCUAUAAGACUGGGAUAACUUCGGGAAACCGGAGCUAAUACCGGAUAAUAUAUUGAACCGCAUGGUUCAAUAGUGAAAGACGGUUUUGCUGUCACUUAUAGAUGGAUCCGCGCCGCAUUAGCUAGUUGGUAAGGUAACGGCUUACCAAGGCAACGAUGCGUAGCCGACCUGAGAGGGUGAUCGGCCACACUGGAACUGAGACACGGUCCAGACUCCUACGGGAGGCAGCAGUAGGGAAUCUUCCGCAAUGGGCGAAAGCCUGACGGAGCAACGCCGCGUGAGUGAUGAAGGUCUUCGGAUCGUAAAACUCUCUUAUUAGGGAAGAACAAAUGUGUAAGUAACUAUGCACGUCUUGACGGUACCUAAUCAGAAAGCCACGGCUAACUACGUG
Molecule: ribosomal RNA, 497 nt
Filed under: uncultured bacterium
Lineage: Bacteria
Description: partial 16S ribosomal RNA
Rfam family: Bacterial small subunit ribosomal RNA
Source: RNAcentral